Molecule: ribosomal RNA, 489 nt
Filed under: Klebsiella pneumoniae
Lineage: Bacteria; Pseudomonadati; Pseudomonadota; Gammaproteobacteria; Enterobacterales; Enterobacteriaceae
Description: partial 23S ribosomal RNA
Rfam family: Bacterial large subunit ribosomal RNA
Source: RNAcentral
AUAGUGAACCAGUACCGUGAGGGAAAGGUGAAAAGCACCCCGGAAGGGGAGUGAAACAGUUCCUGAAACCGUGUGCCUACAAGUAGUUAGAGCCCGUUAAUGGGUGAUAGCGUGCCUUUUGUAGAAUGAACCGGCGAGUUACGAUUUGUUGCAAGGUUAAGCGGAAAAAGCGGAGCCGUAGCGAAAGCGAGUCUGAAUAGGGCGCAUAAGUAACAGGUCGUAGACCCGAAACCAGGUGAUCUACCCAUGUCCAGGAUGAAGGUAAGGUAAUACUUACUGGAGGUCCGAACCCACGCACGUUGAAAAGUGCGGGGAUGAGGUGUGGGUAGCGGAGAAAUUCCAAUCGAACUUGGAGAUAGCUGGUUCUCUCCGAAAUAGCUUUAGGGCUAGCCUCGAGGUAAAGAGUCAUGGAGGUAGAGCACUGUUUGGACUAGGGGCCCUUCUCGGGUUACCGAAUUCAGAUAAACUCCGAAUGCCAUGUACUUCUAC